UACGGAGGGUGCAAGCGUUGUUCGGAAUUAUUGGGCGUAAAGCGCGCGCAGGCGGUCUCGUAAGUCCAUAGGUGAAAUGCCGGAGCUCAACUCCGUGCCCGCCUAGGAUACUGUGGGACUGGAGACAUGUAGAGGCUGGCGGAAUUCCGGGUGUAGCGGUGGAAUGCGUAGAGAUCCGGAAGAACACCGGAGGCGAAGGCGGCCAGCUGGGCAUGGUCUGACGCUGAGGCGCGAAGGCGUGGGGAGCGAACAGG
Molecule: ribosomal RNA, 254 nt
Filed under: uncultured bacterium
Lineage: Bacteria
Description: partial 16S ribosomal RNA
Rfam family: Bacterial small subunit ribosomal RNA
Source: RNAcentral